Cyprinus carpio (common carp) is the source of this 454-nucleotide long non-coding RNA. RefSeq lists it as uncharacterized. The transcript has 3 exons. NCBI's taxonomy places the organism in Eukaryota, Metazoa, Chordata, Actinopteri, Cypriniformes, Cyprinidae. The record is from RefSeq and is a predicted model, not a curated record.
CCAGUGGUCGACCUUCAAUAAUGUUUGCUGUUCCCAGUUUAUAUGGAGUGCAGAAUUUCUUGCAUCCAGUUGAACAAACAAAACUGAGCAUUUGCCAAGAGGAGUGUUUAUUUAAAGACUACCCUUGUGAUGAGGAUGUCUUUCAACUGUGUGUAGAACUCAUGGCUGAGCAUAACCUUGUCAUGUCAGAUGAUGUUUAUGAAAUUACGGACCUUUACCUUCAACUUCGUGAACUGAUCCUUCAAGGACUGGAUUUGGAGGAAUAGAUUCACCAUUCUAAUCUAAUCUACAACAUUCACUAUAAGCUAAAGAUGUUGAACUGCAGCCUUACUCUCCCUACCCAAGCAACCUUGGACCACUGGAUGGAAUCGCAAAGCUUUUGGCAUCACAUGCCAGUGUGUUUUUAAUCCAAUCAUAGUCUCAAAACAAGUUUCUGAGUUCAAAGGCUCUGCAA